Musa acuminata subsp. malaccensis (wild Malaysian banana) is the source of this 512-nucleotide long non-coding RNA. RefSeq lists it as uncharacterized. The record is from RefSeq and is a predicted model, not a curated record. NCBI's taxonomy places the organism in Eukaryota, Viridiplantae, Streptophyta, Magnoliopsida, Zingiberales, Musaceae.
GACGCUGGUGGGAACCCUGUUUGGGCCGGGCAUCUUAGAUGCACUCCGUUGCCCUCUGCAAGCUCCUCUAUAUCCGGCGUACGCAACUGCCCCUUCCUUCCUCCGGCACCCCAAACCCUAAUCUUCUUUGAUAUCUUCUUCUUUAGUGUUGGAUGGGUGGGAUCGAUCGGUUCUAUGUUACCUUGCGUGCUGGGAUGAGGCCGAGGGCCAUCUUCGUGAAUCAUUUCGUAGGACGACGACCUCAAGGCGGCGGUUGACAAGAUGCUGCACAAGGCAAUGGCCGUCAACCAGUACAGAAACUUCUGUGUUCAAGAAGCAUUCUUUCUGAUCCCUCGCGUUGAAGGUUUGCGAGAAAUGAGAGUUUGUGGAAGAAUUGAGGGGAGAGGAUGCCAAGUAUCUACAUGAGGUGGUACUGUUAAGGACCAAAGAUUGAGAUGGUCGCGCUAUGUAAUUGAAGAUUGUGGAUGUAUUUUGAUGUUCGAAGGAUUCGAUAACAAAAUAUAUAUUGCACA